RNAcentral lists this ribosomal RNA (1095 nucleotides) under Triticum aestivum (bread wheat). Its description in RNAcentral is "partial small subunit ribosomal RNA". The record is from RNAcentral. Lineage: Eukaryota; Viridiplantae; Streptophyta; Magnoliopsida; Poales; Poaceae.
AUGCCGUCGUCGCAAGCCCUAGCGCUCGUCUCGCUCGCCCUCCUGGUCUGCUGCAGCUCCCCCCUCCUCGCCCAUGCACAGACGCCGGCGGCCGACGACGUCUGCGCCAGCCUGGCCACGGACGACGCCUGCCACAACGUCCCCAAGGCGCUCCGCCUGAAGCUGAUCGGCAUCCCGACCAUCCUCGUGGCCAGCGUCAUCGGCGUCUGCCUGCCGCUCUUCGCCAAGUCGGUGCCGGCGCUCCAGCCCGACCGCAACCUCUUCUACGUCGUCAAGGCCUUCGCGUCGGGGGUCAUCCUCUCCACCGGCUACAUGCACGUGCUCCCGGACUCGUUCAACAACCUCAACUCGCCGUGCCUCCCCGAGAAGCCGUGGCGGCAGUUCCCCUUCACCACCUUUGUCGCCAUGCUCGCCGCCGUCUUCACCCUCAUGGUCGACUCCCUCAUGCUCACCUUCUACAACCGCAAGAAGAAGGGUGGCGCUCCCCAAGACGCCGGGGCUCCCAGCAGCGCCGCCGUCGCCAAUAUCGAGAGCCCGGAGCCGGAAGCGCACUGGCACGGCCACGGGACGGCGUUGGCCAAGCCCGACGACGCCGAGGCCGGCCAGAUGCAGCUCCGCCGGAACCGCGUCGUCGUUCAGGUUCUGGAGAUGGGCAUCGUGGUGCACUCGGUGGUGAUCGGGCUGGGCAUGGGCGCGUCGCAGAGCGUGUGCACCAUCCGGCCGCUGGUGGCCGCCAUGUGCUUCCACCAGAUGUUCGAGGGGAUGGGCCUCGGCGGCUGCAUCCUCCAGGCGGAAUACGGCACCAAGAUGAAGGCCGGCCUCGUCUUCUUCUUCUCCACCACCACGCCCUUCGGUAUCGCGCUCGGCCUCGCGCUCACCAAGGUGUACCAGGACAACAGCCCCACCGCGCUCAUCGUCGUCGGCCUGCUCAACGCCGCCUCCGCGGGGUUGCUGCACUACAUGGCGCUCGUCGAGCUCCUCGCCGCCGACUUCAUGGGGCCCAAGCUGCAGGGCAGCGUCAGGCUCCAGCUCAUCUGUCUCACCGCCGUCCUCCUCGGCGCCGGCGGCAUGUCCGUCAUGGCCAAAUGGGCGUGA